Molecule: small nucleolar RNA, 121 nt
Organism: Echinops telfairi (small Madagascar hedgehog)
Lineage: Eukaryota; Metazoa; Chordata; Mammalia; Afrosoricida; Tenrecidae
Source: Ensembl
UCCCUCCAGAUUCCUUGCCCAUACGAUCUGAACACAGGUCGGAGUGGUUAUAAAAGGAGGAAAUGUAGAAUUGAAACUGACUUCAAUUAUUGUGUGGCACUAGAGCAAGUUUCAAACAAAC